GAUUACCCGCUGAACUUAAGCAUAUCACUAAGACGGAGGAAAAGAAACUAACCAGGAUUCCCCUAGUAACGGCGAGUGAAGAGGGAAUAGCCCAGCACCGAAGCCUGCGGUAGGUUUACUGCUAGGCAAUGUGGUGUUUGGGUCGACUCGCGGGAUUGCCACUCCACUCGAAGUCCAGCACUGAGUAUGGUUCCCUGGAUUUGGCCCAGAGAGGGUGAAAGGCCCGUGCGAGUGGAGGUUCAGACAUGUGAGGCAAUUCACCAGGUCGACCUUCGAGUCGGGGUGUUUGGAAUGCAGC
This 298-nucleotide ribosomal RNA is filed under the name Spirometra erinaceieuropaei. Its description in RNAcentral is "partial 28S ribosomal RNA". It matches the Rfam family "Eukaryotic large subunit ribosomal RNA", at positions 19 to 286 of the family's 3401-position model. Lineage: Eukaryota; Metazoa; Platyhelminthes; Cestoda; Diphyllobothriidea; Diphyllobothriidae. The record is from RNAcentral.